Molecule: ribosomal RNA, 92 nt
Filed under: Pseudoflavonifractor phocaeensis
Lineage: Bacteria; Bacillati; Bacillota; Clostridia; Eubacteriales; Oscillospiraceae
Description: partial 16S ribosomal RNA
Rfam family: Bacterial small subunit ribosomal RNA
Source: RNAcentral
UUUUAUUGAGAGUUUGAUCCUGGCUCAGGAUGAACGCUGGCGGCGUGCUUAACACAUGCAAGUCGAACGGAGUGCUCAUGACAGAGGAUUCG